Molecule: ribosomal RNA, 695 nt
Filed under: uncultured Glomeromycotina
Lineage: Eukaryota; Fungi; Glomeromycota
Description: SSU rRNA
Rfam family: Eukaryotic small subunit ribosomal RNA
Source: RNAcentral
AUGGUGGUAACGGGUAACGGGGUGUUAGGGCACGACACCGGAGAGGGAGCCUGAGAAACGGCUACCACAUCCAAGGAUGGCAGCAGGCGCGCAAAUUACCCAAUCCCGACACGGGGAGGUAGUGACAAUAAAUAACAAUACGGGGUCCUUUAGGGUUUCGUAAUUGGAAUGAGUACAAUUUAAAUCUCUUAACGAGGAACAAUUGGAGGGCAAGUCUGGUGCCAGCAGCCGCGGUAAUUCCAGCUCCAAUAGCGUAUAUUAAAGUUGUUGCAGUUAAAAAGCUCGUAGUUGAAUUUCGGGAUCAGUACGCCGGUCGUGCCUUCGGUAUGCACUGGUGUCACUGGUUUCUCCCUUCUGAAGAACCAUCAUGCCAUUCAGUUGGUGUGGCGGGGAAUCAGGACUGUUACUUUGAAAAAAUUAGAGUGUUUAAAGCAGGCUCGCGCUUGAAUACAUUAGCAUGGAAUAAUGAAAUAGGACGUUUGACCCUAUUUUGUUGGUUUCUAGGAUCGACGUAAUGAUUAAUAGGGAUAGUUGGGGGCAUUAGUAUUCAAUUGUCAGAGGUGAAAUUCUUGGAUUUAUUGAAGACUAACUACUGCGAAAGCAUUUGCCAAGGAUGUUUUCAUUAAUCAAGAACGAAAGUUAGGGGAUCGAAGACGAUCAGAUACCGUCGUAGUCUUAACCAUAAACUAUGCCGA